CCCUGAUGGCAGCGAAAAUCCCUUUUGGGUUAAAGAGGGUUACUUAUCCAGGCAAUGUUCCCCAAAAGGAUUGCAGCGUACAGCAGGACGGAAC
This 94-nucleotide small RNA is filed under the name Pedobacter zeae. Its description in RNAcentral is "Flavo-1 RNA". It matches the Rfam family "Flavo-1 RNA". Lineage: Bacteria; Pseudomonadati; Bacteroidota; Sphingobacteriia; Sphingobacteriales; Sphingobacteriaceae. The record is from RNAcentral.